UACAGAGGGGGCUAGCGUUGUUCGGAAUUACUGGGCGUAAAGGGCGCGUAGGCGGCCCGCUAAGUCGAACGUGGAAUCCCCGGGCUCAACCCGGGAACUGCGUCCGAUACUGGCAGGCUUGAAUCCGGGAGAGGGAUGUGGAAUUCCAGGUGUAGCGGUGAAAUGCGUAGAUAUCUGGAGGAACACCGGUGGCGAAGGCGGCAUCCUGGACCGGUAUUGACGCUGAGGCGCGAAAGCCAGGGGAGCAAACGGG
RNAcentral lists this ribosomal RNA (253 nucleotides) under uncultured bacterium. Its description in RNAcentral is "partial 16S ribosomal RNA". It matches the Rfam family "Bacterial small subunit ribosomal RNA", at positions 524 to 776 of the family's 1533-position model. The record is from RNAcentral.